Molecule: transfer RNA, 84 nt
Filed under: marine gamma proteobacterium HTCC2148
Lineage: Bacteria; Pseudomonadati; Pseudomonadota; Gammaproteobacteria; Cellvibrionales; Halieaceae
Rfam family: tRNA
About the family: Transfer RNA (tRNA) molecules are approximately 80 nucleotides in length. Their secondary structure includes four short double-helical elements and three loops (D, anti-codon, and T loops).
Source: Rfam by way of RNAcentral
GCCCGGAUGGUGGAAUUGGUAGACACAGGAGACUUAAAAUCUCCCGGCUUCACAGCUGUGCGGGUUCAAGUCCCGCUCCGGGCA